RNAcentral lists this ribosomal RNA (439 nucleotides) under uncultured bacterium. Its description in RNAcentral is "partial 16S ribosomal RNA". It matches the Rfam family "Bacterial small subunit ribosomal RNA", at positions 338 to 795 of the family's 1533-position model. The record is from RNAcentral.
CCUACGGGUGGCAGCAGUGGGGAAUAUUGCACAAUGGGGGGAACCCUGAUGCAGCGACGCCGCGAGAGUGAAGGAGUAUUUCGGUAUGUAAAGCUCUAUCAGCAGGGAAGAAAAUGACGGUACCUGACAAAGAAGCCCCGGCUAACUACGUGCCAGCAGCCGCGUAAAUACGAAGGGGGCAAGCGUUAUCGGGAUUUACGGGGUGUAAGGGGGGGCAGUCCGCUGUGGAAGUCUGGGGGGAAAGGCGGGGGCCCAACCCCCGGACUGCUCUGGAAUCUGUAAAGCUGGAGUGCAGGAGAGGUAAGCGGAAUUCCUAGUGUAGCGGUGAAAUGCGUAGAUAUUAGGAGGAACACCAGUGGCGAAGGCGGCUUACUGGACUGCAACUGACGUUGAGGCUCGAAAGCGUAGGGAGCAAACAGGAUUAGAUACCCCAGUAGUC